UUAAGCGACUAAGCGUACACGGUGGAUGCCCUGGCAGUCAGAGGCGAUGAAGGACGUGCUAAUCUGCGAAAAGCGUCGGUAAGGUGAUAUGAACCGUUAUAGCCGGCGAUGUCCGAAUGGGGAAACCCAGUGCAAUUCGUUGCACUAUCGUUAACUGAAUACAUAGGUUAACGAGGCGAACCGGGGGAACUGAAACAUCUAAGUACCCCGAGGAAAAGAAAUCAACCGAGAUUCCCCCAGUAGCGGCGAGCGAACGGGGAGCAGCCCAGAGUCUGAAUCAGCUUGUGUGUUAGUGGAACGGUCUGGAAAGUCCGACGGUACAGGGUGAUAGUCCCGUACACCAAAAUGCACAGGCUGUGAACUCGAAGAGUAGGGCGGGACACGUGGUAUCCUGUCUGAAUAUGGGGGGACCAUCCUCCAAGGCUAAAUACUCCUGACUGACCGAUAGUGAACCAGUACCGUGAGGGAAAGGCGAAAAGAACCCCGGCGAGGGGAGUGAAAAAGAACCUGAAACCGUGUACGUACAAGCAGUGGGAGCACCUUCGGGUGUGACUGCGUACCUUUUGUAUAAUGGGUCAGCGACUUAUAUUCUGUAGCAAGGUUAACCGUAUAGGGGAGCCGCAGGGAAACCGAGUCUUAACUGGGCGUUAAGUUGCAGGGUAUAGACCCGAAACCCGGUGAUCUAGCCAUGGGCAGGUUGAAGGUUGGGUAACACUAACUGGAGGACCGAACCGACUAAUGUUGAAAAAUUAGCGGAUGACUUGUGGCUGGGGGUGAAAGGCCAAUCAAACCGGGAGAUAGCUGGUUCUCCCCGAAAGCUAUUUAGGUAGCGCCUCGUGAACUCAUCUUCGGGGGUAGAGCACUGUUUCGGCUAGGGGGUCAUCCCGACUUACCAACCCGAUGCAAACUACGAAUACCGAAGAAUGUUAUCACGGGAGACACACGGCGGGUGCUAACGUCCGUCGUGAAGAGGGAAACAACCCAGACCGCCAGCUAAGGUCCCAAAGUCAUGGUUAAGUGGGAAACGAUGUGGGAAGGCACAGACAGCCAGGAUGUUGGCUUAGAAGCAGCCAUCAUUUAAAGAAAGCGUAAUAGCUCACUGGUCGAGUCGGCCUGCGCGGAAGAUGUAACGGGGCUAAACCAUGCACCGAAGCUGCGGCAGCGACACUAUGUGUUGUUGGGUAGGGGAGCGUUCUGUAAGCCUGCGAAGGUGUGCUGUGAGGCAUGCUGGAGGUAUCAGAAGUGCGAAUGCUGACAUAAGUAACGAUAAAGCGGGUGAAAAGCCCGCUCGCCGGAAGACCAAGGGUUCCUGUCCAACGUUAAUCGGGGCAGGGUGAGUCGACCCCUAAGGCGAGGCCGAAAGGCGUAGUCGAUGGGAAACAGGUUAAUAUUCCUGUACUUGGUGUUACUGCGAAGGGGGGACGGAGAAGGCUAUGUUAGCCGGGCGACGGUUGUCCCGGUUUAAGCAUGUAGGCUGGUUAUCCAGGCAAAUCCGGAUAAUCAAGGCUGAGGUGUGAUGACGAGGCACUACGGUGCUGAAGUAACAAAUGCCCUGCUUCCAGGAAAAGCCUCUAAGCAUCAGGUAACAUCAAAUCGUACCCCAAACCGACACAGGUGGUCAGGUAGAGAAUACCAAGGCGCUUGAGAGAACUCGGGUGAAGGAACUAGGCAAAAUGGUGCCGUAACUUCGGGAGAAGGCACGCUGGUGUGUAGGUGAAGUCCCUGCGGAUGGAGCUGAGACCAGUCGAAGAUACCAGCUGGCUGCAACUGUUUAUUAAAAACACAGCACUGUGCAAACACGAAAGUGGACGUAUACGGUGUGACGCCUGCCCGGUGCCGGAAGGUUAAUUGAUGGGGUUAUCCGUAAGGAGAAGCUCUUGAUCGAAGCCCCGGUAAACGGCGGCCGUAACUAUAACGGUCCUAAGGUAGCGAAAUUCCUUGUCGGGUAAGUUCCGACCUGCACGAAUGGCGUAAUGAUGGCCAGGCUGUCUCCACCCGAGACUCAGUGAAAUUGAACUCGCUGUGAAGAUGCAGUGUACCCGCGGCAAGACGGAAAGACCCCGUGAACCUUUACUAUAGCUUGACACUGAACAUUGAGCCUUGAUGUGUAGGAUAGGUGGGAGGCUUUGAAGCGUGGACGCCAGUCUGCGUGGAGCCAACCUUGAAAUACCACCCUUUAAUGUUUGAUGUUCUAACGUUGGCCCCUGACCGGGGUUGCGGACAGUGUCUGGUGGGUAGUUUGACUGGGGCGGUCUCCUCCCAAAGCGUAACGGAGGAGCACGAAGGUUAGCUAAUCCUGGUCGGACAUCAGGAGGUUAGUGCAAUGGCAUAAGCUAGCUUGACUGCGAGCGUGACGGCGCGAGCAGGUGCGAAAGCAGGUCAUAGUGAUCCGGUGGUUCUGAAUGGAAGGGCCAUCGCUCAACGGAUAAAAGGUACUCCGGGGAUAACAGGCUGAUACCGCCCAAGAGUUCAUAUCGACGGCGGUGUUUGGCACCUCGAUGUCGGCUCAUCACAUCCUGGGGCUGAAGUAGGUCCCAAGGGUAUGGCUGUUCGCCAUUUAAAGUGGUACGCGAGCUGGGUUUAGAACGUCGUGAGACAGUUCGGUCCCUAUCUGCCGUGGGCGCUGGAGAAUUGAGGGGGGCUGCUCCUAGUACGAGAGGACCGGAGUGGACGCAUCACUGGUGUUCGGGUUGUCAUGCCAAUGGCACUGCCCGGUAGCUAAAUGCGGAAGAGAUAAGUGCUGAAAGCAUCUAAGCACGAAACUUGCCCCGAGAUGAGUUCUCCCUGAGACUUUAAGUCUCCUGAAGGAACGUUAAAGACGAUGACGUUGAUAGGCCGGGUGUGUAAGCGCAGCGAUGCGUUGAGCUAACCGGUACUAAUGAACCGUGAGGCUUAACCU
This 2899-nucleotide ribosomal RNA is filed under the name Klebsiella pneumoniae. Its description in RNAcentral is "23S ribosomal RNA". It matches the Rfam family "Bacterial large subunit ribosomal RNA". Lineage: Bacteria; Pseudomonadati; Pseudomonadota; Gammaproteobacteria; Enterobacterales; Enterobacteriaceae. The record is from RNAcentral.